CUGUAAAUGAUCAAUGAAUCUUCCUGGAGUAGCAACAAUUACAUCCACUCCAGCUCUUAGUUCAGACCUCUGGUCAGCAAUGUUAGUUCCACCAACAACUAUUGCAGUUCUAAAGCAUUCGAGAGAUCUGCUAAAACAUUUGACCUCCUUUUCAAUCUGUUGGGCUAGCUCUCUGGUAGGAGCCAACACCAAUGCCAGCGGUCCAUCGCCACGCCAAAUGGGAGACUGAGCCAAGCAGUGCUGUAUCAUCGGAAUGGCGAAUGCAGCAGUUUUGCCACUACCAGUUUGAGCACAACCUAACAAAUCUC
RNAcentral lists this unclassified non-coding RNA (308 nucleotides) under Hevea brasiliensis (rubber tree). The record is from RNAcentral. Lineage: Eukaryota; Viridiplantae; Streptophyta; Magnoliopsida; Malpighiales; Euphorbiaceae.